AUUUCCUGAGACGUAUUUGUUGGUAAUGCAUUUUCUCAAUUAACAAACUCGUUGUCUACUGAUUAGUACCAGGAGGAGGAUGCUAAGUCCCCUCCUGGCCACUUCCCCCCACCCGACGGUCGCUUCCGCCACAUCCACGUCGACCUUGUGGGCCCUUUACCACCGUCCCGAGACCAACGCUACUUACUAACCAUUGUCGACCGUUACACCCGCUGGCCUGAGGCCGUCCCCAUCAGUGACAUCACGGCGGAUACCGUAGCCCGCGCCCUCGUUUCAACUUGGAUCGCCCGUUACGGCUGUCCCACGCGCAUCACCACAGACCAGGGCCGACAAUUCCAGAGUGCCCUUUUCAAGAACCUGAUGGCUCUCCUCGGUGUUCACCAUAUCAGCACCACGGCAUACCACCCUUCCUCCAACGGCCUCGUCGAGCGCUUUCAUCGUCAGCUGAAAGCUUCGCUCAUCGCUCGCGAGGCCCAAACCAGCUGGGUGGAUCACUUGCCUGUUGUCAUGCUGGGCAUCCGUUCGGCCUUCAAGGAGGACCUCUCCUGCACCGCAGCCGAGCUGGUUUACGGGACGACACUGCGUCUUCCUGGUGACUUUUGGAGCGAUCCCGACGGCGUACGUUCUCUUCCCCAGGCCGAGUACGUCCAGCAGCUCCGGCGUUUCUUUCGUGGCCUGGCGCCGGUUCCCUCCAGGACGCCGCCCCCCUCCAAAGUUUUCCUCCACCCCGACCUCAACACGAGCACCCACGUGUUCCUGCGCCAUGAUGCUGUGCGGAAGCCGCUCUCGCCACACUACGAUGGCCCGUACCGUGUUCUCUCCCGAAACAGCAAGACCUUCACCAUCGACAUCGCGGGCCAGCGCCAAGUCGUCUCGCUGGACCGCCUCAAGCCGGCCUACCUUGCAGCCGUCGCCCCCGCUCCCCCACUCGCUCUCGAGGACUCUUCCCCCGCCUUAUCUCCUCCGAAGCCUCGUCGUAGAGUUACUUGGGCAGCUCCACUUCGUGUCCCCAGCCCCACGUCGCCUCCACUCUGAGGGGGGGGGGGAGCCCUGUAGCGGCCGCAGGUCGGCGCCACCGGAAGGUACGCGCCAAAAAUAAACGCUGGCGCGCUCACGGGCUCGAGUUCUUAGCGAGCCGAGUGCAGUCUGAUUCUGUUGCCUCCUAAGCUGUCUGCCUGUCUACUUCUCUCCGCGACAAGCCACAAAGUAAAGGCAGACGUUUUGUCUUUAAUAUUUAGCAAGCUGCACUGCACACUACUUGUCACAGAUAAGCCCGUGCAUGGAAGCACCCAACCUAAGAAAGCAGAUGAAGUACUGUAUCGUUGACUUCGUUGAAGAGGGGACUGUUGAACUUGUCCCGGCAACUUGGGUAGCUGGCAACUAGUGCUACUGGCCACCUGGACCAGGUGAUAAAAAAAUAUGCAUUAAACGAUGUGUGAUACCAGGACAGGAUUGGAGAAGGUAUAAAGUAGCAGUAAAGGGAACGUUCGACAAAUACGAAGAUGGGUGUCGAAAACUUGAUCGUGCUCAAUACACAUCCGACCUGGAAUCUAGUCACGAGGCAAGGAAAAGAAAAGUGAAGAAGCCUAAAAAAUAUGAUGACAUAUAUGACGCACCUGUGCCGCCUCUCAUGUUUCGCCGGAGCUCAGCAUCAUCCUCAGCUGACAUUGUUGAACCUGACGAAGAUGACACUGUGUUGUCCAGAACCUCAAACACCAGCAUAGAUGAUAUCACUCAUAGUCCAACGGUUUGCGAAGACAACUUUGGAAGCUCAAGCAUAAAAGGACGCAGUUCAAGUUCUACCGACAGAAGCUGCCCCCGAGCUACUGAGCAGCAACUACCAACACAGUCAGUAAAAAAACUGUCUCCAGAUGGUUAGUAGUUGGUUUUCCUUCUGCCUAGGGAUGUUGGUCGGUUGGUGCAUUGUGAAUUCAAAAAUUCACAGUGCCUGUCGCAGCAGGCCUUGUCAAUAUGCUAUAUGAGCCGUAAUAUGCCCUAGCGUGGAAGUCCUGGAUUAAGUCUACCUUUUGCCAGUUAUUGAUAAUUCUUAUCGAUU
Ornithodoros turicata is the source of this 2056-nucleotide RNA transcript. RefSeq lists it as uncharacterized. The transcript is spliced from 7 exons. The record is from RefSeq and is a predicted model, not a curated record. Lineage: Eukaryota; Metazoa; Arthropoda; Arachnida; Ixodida; Argasidae.